CAAGUCGUAACAAGGUUUCCGUAGGUGAACCUGCGGAAGGAUCAUUACCGAAUAGUCGACACGAGUUGUUGCUGGUCUCCGUAUGGGGACACGUGCACGCUCUGUCCACAUACAUCCACUCACACCUGUGCACCUUCUGUAGUUCUAUGGUUUGGGGGACUUUGUCUUCCUGCUGUGGUUCUGCGUUUUUACACACACGCCGUAACAAAGUUUUAUGGGAUGUAUGCCGCGUAUAACGCGAUACAAUACAACUUUCAGCAACGGAUCUCUUGGCUCUCGCAUCGAUGAAGAACGCAGCGAAAUGCGAUAAGUAAUGUGAAUUGCAGAAUUCAGUGAAUCAUCGAAUCUUUGAACGCACCUUGCGCCCUUUGGUUAUUCCGGAGGGCAUGCCUGUUUGAGUAUCAUGAACACCUCAACUCCCAUGGUUUGCCAUGGCGGUUUGGAUUUUGGAGGUCUUGUGGGCCCUCGGUCUGCUCCUCUCAAAUGAAUUAGCUUGCCAGUGUCUGGUGGUUCACGGUGUGAUAAAUAUCUACGCCUGUGGCUUUCCACCAGGUAACCUUCAGUGAUGGAGGUUCGCUGGAGCUUAUAGAUGUGUCCCCCUCGGUGAGGGUGGCUCCUUGAAUGUUUGAUCUCAAAUCAGGUAGGACUACCCGCUGAACUUAA
RNAcentral lists this small RNA (663 nucleotides) under uncultured Tomentella. RNAcentral's name for it is "eukaryotic LSU rRNA". The stretch from base 250 to 404 matches the Rfam family "5.8S ribosomal RNA". Lineage: Eukaryota; Fungi; Basidiomycota; Agaricomycetes; Thelephorales; Thelephoraceae. The record is from RNAcentral.